GACGAACGCUGGCGGCGUGCUUAACACAUGCAAGUCGAACGGAAAGGCCCUGCUUUUGUGGGGUGCUCGAGUGGCGAACGGGUGAGUAACACGUGAGUAACCUGCACCUCACUUUGGGAUAACUUCAUGAAACUGGGGCUAAUACCGCAUAGGAGCUCCUGCUGCAUGGUGGGGCCUCGUAAGUUUAGGCGGUUGGGGAUGGACUAGCGGCCUAUCAGGAUGUUGGGGUGGUAGUGGCUUACCAAGGGCUUGACCGGUAGCAGGCCUGCUCGGGGGGCCGGCCACGUUGGGACUGAGAUACGGCCCGGACCCCAAUGCGAGGCAGCAGUGGGGUAGGUUACACAAGGGGCGGAGGCAUGAUGCAGCACCGCCGCGUGCGGGGAGACGGCCUGCGGGUUGGAAAGCGCUUUCGCCUGUGACGAAGCGUGAGUGACGGUAAUGGGUAAAGAAGCACCGGCUAACUACGUG
Molecule: ribosomal RNA, 468 nt
Filed under: uncultured bacterium
Lineage: Bacteria
Description: partial 16S ribosomal RNA
Rfam family: Bacterial small subunit ribosomal RNA
Source: RNAcentral